GAUGAACGCUGGCGGCGUGCCUAAUACAUGCAAGUCGAGCGAACAGACGAGGGGCUUCUUCCUCUGACGUUAGCCGAGCACGGGUGAGUAACACGUGGGUAACCUCCCUAUAAGACGGGGAUAACUUCGGGAAACCGGAGCUAAUCCCGGAUAACAUAUUUAACCGCGUGGUUCUACAGUGCAAGUGGGUCUUGCUGUCACUUCUAGAUGGAUCCGCGCCGCAUUAGCUAGUUGGUCAGGUAACGGCUUACCAAGGCAACGAUGCGUAGCCGACGUGAGAGGGGGAUCGGCCACCCGGGAAGGGAGACAGGGUCCAUAGUCCUACGGGAGGCAGCAGUAGGGAAUCGUACGCAAUGGGCGAAAGCCUGACGGAGCAACGCCGCGUGAGUGAUGAAGGUCUUCGGAUCGUAAAACUCUGUUAUUAGGGAAGAACAAAUGUGUAAGUAACUAUGCACGUCUUGACGGUACCUAAUCAGAAAGCCACGGCUAACUACGUG
RNAcentral lists this ribosomal RNA (497 nucleotides) under uncultured bacterium. RNAcentral describes it as "partial 16S ribosomal RNA". It matches the Rfam family "Bacterial small subunit ribosomal RNA", at positions 28 to 507 of the family's 1533-position model. The record is from RNAcentral.